RNAcentral lists this long non-coding RNA (266 nucleotides) under Mytilus galloprovincialis (Mediterranean mussel). The record is from RNAcentral. Lineage: Eukaryota; Metazoa; Mollusca; Bivalvia; Mytilida; Mytilidae.
GACUUCUUUAAACUGUGUGAUUUUUACUGUGCGUAUUGCUGUGCGUUUGUUUCUUCUUCAUUUGGUUGAGAUUUUAAAAACUUGUUUAACCCCUCGGCAUUUUAGUAUCUGUUCCAAGUCUGGGGCCUCUGGCCUAUGUUAGCUUGGUAUGAACUUUUAUUUUAGUUUAGAGUUUAGUAUGACAUUCAUUAUCACUGAUCUGGUACAAAUUUUUCAUUAUGACUGAAGCCAUUUCUGGUUUUUAGAUGGAUCGCUUCAGAUGCUUG